AUUGAACGCUGGCGGCAGGCUUAACACAUGCAAGUCGAGCGAGCGGCGGACGGGUGAGUAAUGUCUGGGAACCUGCCUGAUGGAGGGGGAUAACUACUGGAAACGGUAGCUAAUACCGCAUCCCAUCAGAUGUGCCCCGAUGGGAUUAGCUAGUAGGUGGGGUAAUGGCUCACCUAGGCGACGAUCCGUAACUGGUCUGAGAGGAUGACCAGCCACACUGGAACUGAGACACGGUCCAGACUCCUACGGGAGGCAGCAGUGGGGAAUAUUGGACAAUGGGCGAAAGCCUGAUGCAGCCAUGCCGCGUGUGUGAAGAAGGUCUUCGGGUUGUAAAGCACUUUCAGCUGGGAGGCGUUACUCGCAGAAGAAGCACCGGCUAACUCCGUGCCAGCAGCCGCGGUAAUUC
RNAcentral lists this ribosomal RNA (406 nucleotides) under uncultured bacterium. RNAcentral's name for it is "partial 16S ribosomal RNA". It matches the Rfam family "Bacterial small subunit ribosomal RNA", at positions 30 to 526 of the family's 1533-position model. The record is from RNAcentral.